Molecule: ribosomal RNA, 527 nt
Filed under: Enterococcus hirae
Lineage: Bacteria; Bacillati; Bacillota; Bacilli; Lactobacillales; Enterococcaceae
Description: partial 23S ribosomal RNA
Rfam family: Bacterial large subunit ribosomal RNA
Source: RNAcentral
UUGGCACUAGGAGCCGAUGAAGGACGGGACUAACACCGAUAUGCUUUGGGGAGCUGUACGUAAGCUAUGAUCCAGAGAUUUCCGAAUGGGGGAACCCAGCAUCUUUUAUAGGAUGUUACGUUUGCGUGAAUACAUAGCGCAUUCGAGGUAGACGCAGAGAACUGAAACAUCUAAGUACCUGCAGGAAGAGAAAGAAAAUUCGAUUCCCUGAGUAGCGGCGAGCGAAACGGGAAAAGCCCAAACCAAUGAGCUUGCUCAUUGGGGUUGUAGGACUCCAAUAUGGUAGUUCUUUCAGAUAGUCGAAUGACUUGGAAAAGUCAGUCAAAGAGGGUAAAAACCCCGUAGAUGAAAUUUGGAAGGCACCUAGGAGGAUCCUGAGUACGGCGGAACACGAGGAAUUCCGUCGGAAUCCGGGAGGACCAUCUCCCAAGGCUAAAUACUCCCUAGUGACCGAUAGUGAACCAGUACCGUGAGGGAAAGGUGAAAAGCACCCCGGAAGGGGAGUGAAAUAGAACCUGAAACCGUGU